UGUGUGUGUGUGUGUGUGUGUGUGUGUGUAUAAAAUGCAGGGAGAACUGGGUGUUCUAUAUUUACAUCUGUUUGCCUAAGAAUUCAGGGCAGGUGUCUGGGCUCUGGACAGUAUGGGAUUGGGUGGGGGACAUUGUUAAAAACAUUAAAAAAACUUCACAGUUCAGAUAAGGACUGUUCUUGGUCAAAAUGCAGGAAACCAAGAAGUAUUGGCCAGUAUUUUUUUUUUCUAGUGAGUCUUAUGUCCCUUUACCUGGGCUGGUGUGGCUCUUAGCUGUUUCUGGGUCCCUGACCCCUUUGAGAAGCUGACAAAAAUUAUUGGCCGUCUCACCAGCAAAAUGCACACAUACCCAGUGUCCUUGACAGUUGACAGGGUUAUAUGGAGUCCAAAAAGCCUGUGAUCUCUAGGUAGAGAAUGAUCCCUGGUUUGUUUAAUAUCCCUUUCUUUCUGUGACCCCCUUCUCUCCCCACUCAUCUGCCUUUACUUUUGCCCUCCCUGAGUUCCCUUGCUGUGGGGUUGGGGUGUUGUCAGGAAGUUCUUCCCUAGGUAUAACCUCUGCCAUUCUUAACCAAUCACUUUUCCUUUUCUUCUUUGCUUGAGCGGGCACCUGGCAGAGGCUUCUGAUCAGCUAUUAACUGAAGACUGGUCUAUAUUGCCCAAUUACUCUACAAUUCCUGAGAGUGGGGGAGUGCCUGGGGGCAUAUUGGCAGCAGUGGAAGCCUGGCUGUAGAGGGACCAAUUCCCAUCUCUAGUGGAAACUUGGAUGCCAGGAG
RNAcentral lists this long non-coding RNA (773 nucleotides) under Marmota monax (woodchuck). The record is from RNAcentral. Lineage: Eukaryota; Metazoa; Chordata; Mammalia; Rodentia; Sciuridae.